CGAAGGGGGCUAGCGUUGCUCGGAAUUACUGGGCGUAAAGGGCGCGUAGGCGGCGCUGCAAGUCAGGCGUGAAAUUCCUGGGCUUAACCUGGGGGCUGCGCUUGAGACUGUGGUGCUAGAGGAUGGAAGAGGGUCGUGGAAUUCCCAGUGUAGAGGUGAAAUUCGUAGAUAUUGGGAAGAACACCGGUGGCGAAGGCGGCGACCUGGUCCAUUACUGACGCUGAGGCGCGACAGCGUGGGGAGCAAACAGGAUU
This 254-nucleotide ribosomal RNA is filed under the name uncultured bacterium. RNAcentral's name for it is "partial 16S ribosomal RNA". It matches the Rfam family "Bacterial small subunit ribosomal RNA", at positions 526 to 779 of the family's 1533-position model. The record is from RNAcentral.